Paramuricea clavata is the source of this 344-nucleotide non-coding RNA. The record is from the annotation of a GenBank genome assembly. NCBI's taxonomy places the organism in Eukaryota, Metazoa, Cnidaria, Anthozoa, Malacalcyonacea, Plexauridae.
GCCCGCACCGCCCGUCGUAGAACCCCCCUUCCCUAUACUACAAAGUUAUGAAUAAUUUUAUGCAUUUAGAUAUUCAUAUUGUAGUAUAAUGAGACUUUUUACUGAUGUAAUUUAACCUAAAGGUUACAAAUCGGUAUUUUAUUAAAUUAUAAUUAUAAGAUCGAAAGCUUUCGAAAAAUCGAGCAAAAAACCCUCACAGCGGUUUUUGAUGUACGAGGUUCAUAUAACAGGUGAUGAACGAAGGUUAAUAGGGCGUGAGUUGUCGAGGAGUUGUUUAAGGAACCAAAUUGUCGUCUAUCAAUCUUUUCCAUUAUAUACUCAAGUAGCCAAUCGGUAACAAACUG